Molecule: transfer RNA, 75 nt
Filed under: Marmota monax (woodchuck)
Lineage: Eukaryota; Metazoa; Chordata; Mammalia; Rodentia; Sciuridae
Description: tRNA.Ala
Source: RNAcentral
UGACCUUAGCUCAGUGGUAGAGCAUGACCUUAGCAUGCACAAGGCCCUGGGUUUGAUCCCUAGCACUGAGGUUAA